ACAGUGCGUUCUGAACUAACGGGUACGUGACACCGCCUUCCACUUCAUCCCGCCAAUGCCAUUGACAUACAAAAGCUUGUUUAAUUUCUGAUCCAGGCCUAUUUGUCUUGGCUUUCACGCCCAGUUUCAUAAACAUUUUCAACAGCUCAAUGAUACCUCACGGAUCUUUCUCUGCACCCCAACUUGGCAAUGUCCAAAUGCUACAUAAUCCUUUCUCAGACCCAUAUUAUCCCAUCAGACAACAGAGCAGGAGCACACUUGAAGGUUACGUUGGCUUCGGGGCACUGUAAAAUUGGGCCCAGCUAAGCGCAUAAUGGUUUUGGCCACUACAUUUUGCUUCUAGUGUUCAGAUUGAGCUUUUAAGCGCUCUCAACGGUGCGGCUUUGGUUUGCAUUAAGGAGUGAGUAAAUAUUUGCUUGAUCAUGCCGCUGGUAAGAUAUGAGAUACGAAAUGAGUACAGUUUGGCGAAGCCUGAGUUGUACAGGUCAGCAGGGAAGGAUGAGUCUGAUGUGUUGCUGGAAGGGGUCGCCAUGGCUGGGCUUGUUGGGAUACUGCGCCAGCUCGGCGACUUAGCCCAGUUUGCUGCUGAAAUCUUUCAUGACGUGCAUGAAGAAAUGAUGGCAACUGCAGCUAGAAGUCAUGGACUUAUAAUUCGCAUACAACAACUUGAAGCUGAGGUCCCUUCAAUUGAAAAGGCAUUGAUGGCUGGAAACCAAGUCCGUUUUGCACAUACACUGGGCAGUGACUGGCAGGCGAGUAUUCCAAACCAUCAUAAUCAUCUCACUUACAGUGAAUUGCCUUGCUUUAUACGGAAUGCCUAUGAAGAAUGUAGAGGGCCACCCCGGCUCUUUACACUGGACAAGUUUGAUAUUGCAGGGACUGGAGCUUGUUUGAAAAGGUACACGGAUCCUUCAUUUUUCAAAACAGAAUUGGCCAGCUCUGAACUCAGGAAAGCAGAAAAUGCUCAAAGGGACAGAUAUACAGCCAGAUUGAAGAAAAGAGUACGGAGGCAAAGGAAUAGUGAAACUACAGAAGUUUCUGUGACAUCCCAACAAAAUUCUAGGAUUCAUUGUUCAGUGUUUGAUGUAGCCGAUCCAAGGUGUGCCCCUGGAAACCAAUGUUAUACUGCUAAUCACAUAUUAGAGUCGAAACAGCGAAAGAAAUUCCCUUCAGCAGGAAUGAUUGAAGAAGAUCAGGCCAAAGAUGAUCUUCCUAUGGGCCAAGUUACAGGAUUUCAGUCAGUGAAUAUUAGUGGCAAGGAGACAAAGGAGAGGAGAAUGUGUUGUGGCAUCAUUCAAACAGAGGAAAAGUUUGUAUUUGUCAAUAGAGAAAGGAAGAUACAAGCUGAAGAUGAUUUGGGUUCAUUUGAAGAUUUUGGAGGUGAGCCAGAGAAUUUUGUUGAUGCUCUUACCACCAUGGAAUCAGAAAUAGAAAUAGAUUCUGAGUGCCAAAUUAAACAGGAGGUAAAUUCUGACAUCAUUUCUGAGCAUAGGGAAACUGGAUCUCUGGCCUAUACAAAAUCAUACGAACAGCCAGUACGAUACUCUGUUUUUCGGGAUACGCAAUCCCUGCACACUGCCAAAUCUUCUAGUGGUGUUGCAAAUACUAAAACAAGCACACCCUCAGAAGGUAGUGUGGAGCAAUCUCUGAUUCUUGCUUCUGUCCAUGCAUCUCCACAGUCCGGAGAAAAAGGAUCAGCGGUUGAUCUUGACAGUGACAAUGAGGCCAACAUGGUUGCAAGUAGUGUCUCCUCAGAAUGUGGUAAUGUUGUGUGGACAACUGAUACCUCCAACAUGGAAGCAGUACACGAUCAUGAUAAUGUCACACUUUUGGCUCCUGCUUUGGAAACCAUGGCUACUGUAAAGAACAAUUUUUUUCAGACACCUGAUGCUGUUAAGAACCAUUCGUCCUCUUUUGCAUUUUCAAAUACAGAGUUAUCUUCCAGUCUUGGUCGUGUCCAUGUGCUGACAGAUUGUAGGGAGAAAGACUCAACAGCUGAUCUUGACAGUGGUAAUAAUUGUAACACUGUUCGGACAACUUAUUCCUCCACUGAGAUGGUACUGGAUGAUCAUCUUUAUAAACCAUUUGCUGCUACUGCAUGUGAUGUUCCCAUCACAAGCACAAGUCUUUUUCAGAAAUCAGAAGCUGCACUGGACCGUUCAUCCUCUUUUGCUUUUACUAACUUUGAAUCAUUCAAUGGUUCUCUAAAUGCUACACCAUCUGCCUGUUUUGAUAGUGGAGAUGCCUUUUUCAGAUUUGUCACGCCUGAGUUAUCCAUCAUGUACAAUGAUGCAAAAUUUGCAUCAUCAAUUAUAAUUGAAGAACUUGGUGAUUCACAACUUUCUUUCAUAUCUGGAUCUUCCAACAAAAUCAAAUCAUUAUCUGUCUCAGAAGCUUCCAAAUAUACAUGUAAUGAGGAACUUGAAAGUUCUCUUAUUCCUUCCAUACCUCCAGAUGCUGGUGAAAAUGAAUUAGAAUCUUGCUCUGAUUUGUCUGAGUUUGCUUCUGGUCUUCACAAUGUGCAAGGUGAUCAUUUGUAUCCUGACUUAGAAAUUGAUGAUGUGAAAAGCGAAAUGCCUAGUGACUGUGUUUCCUGUGAUAAGACUUAUCCUAAACAUGAAAAUCCGUCUACCACAUUAGCUGGAUCCAUAUCUCCUCAAUCAGAGAUUGAAGAAACAUUUAUAGAAUCUCCAAUUGGAAACUUACAUAGUAAACAUUCUACUGGGCUAUGUGCAUACUUGUUUUCAGAUCCUAUGAAUGAUAAAGCUCUUGAAUCUAGCAUUGAUGUUGAGACAGUUGGUAAUCGAGUGCUUGAUGUUUCAUCAUCUGAUGAUGUUCUUAAAAUGAAACCUGUUCACAUGUAUGAAGGUUCAUCAGAUAGUUCAGUGGUAAUAUCAACAGCAUCAAAUCAUAGACAUUUUGAGUUUUGUCCUGAGUUACAAAGUUUUCAAGUUUCUGUAAAUUACACAUCUAUUCCAUUACCUGAAAAUAGGGAGUUUUCAUGUGACAUGUUGGGAGAGAAGCCAAUCAGUAGGUUUCAUAACUCAAAGGUAGUUGGUACUGUCCUUGAAAAUAAUUUGAUUUCUGACUUUCCCACAAAGGAUAUUUCUGUAGAUAUGAUUCAAGCUGAGCUUGCUACUGUUGGGCAUAUUAAUUCAGAUUCUGGGCUUACCUCAUCAAACAAUGAUUGCCAUGAAAGAUCAAUAAAUGUAUUCAAGAAGGAUGAAACUGAAGCGUUUGUUGUUGCAGAUUCUCCAAUUGUUAGUUGCUCUACCAUGUCUCCCAUUUCCAUCUUUCAUUCUAGAUCUCUUGUGGAAUCUGCUAAUACUGGGUCAAACAACCUUUCCAGCACUGAGAUAAAGACAAGUCUCCUUGGUGAGGUCCAUACUGGAAGGAUUCAUGAUGUGCCUUCUGCAAGCUCUGCUGGUAAUAUUCUCCUUGAUGAUCAUCCCCACAAGGAAUCUGUCACUAAGAAUUCUAGUGCUGGCCUUCAAAGCCACGGUGUUGACGAACAACAUUGGGGCUAUGCAAAAGAAGGGUCAAUCUCAAGCCUUGGUCAUAUUGACUCACAGGGUCAUGAUCUAUCGUCUUCCCUUCAAGAUCAGACAGAUAUUUCCUUCUCUCAGCCUGCUAUAGGAUCUCCUCUCCAUCUUCUCUUCACUAGGAGUGACUAUUACCCAGAAAAUUUGAGUCCAGAAAGAAGUUCAUGUAAUAUAAGAAUCACCAAUCUGUCACCUCUCUGUUUGUUGCCAGAACCUGUGAUUCCACUUGAAAAGGAAUUGGAGGGAAAAGAUACUGCUGAUUGUACUUCUCUUGCAUCAAAUAAUCUUGAGAAAUCCUCUCAGGCUAUCAUAGAUGAAAUGCAGUCCUUAAAGUUGUCAUAUACAGCUGAUGGUUCUGAAGGUGGACAUCAAAGAAGCCAUGUGGCACAUUCUUCAGUCUCAUUUAGUGACCAUUUUGUGGAAUCUACUACUGAAUCUGCAGUGAUCCCUGAAAUUACCCUGAGUGCUAAUGAAAAGCUUGGGUCUUCAAGAAUUCUGUUAACUUCUUUAUUGACAAACUCAUUGAGUUCAAGUGAACCCAGAAGUUCAAUACUGAUGAAUCUUGAUGAUGGCAGUGGAGAGGCAGGAGAUAACAGCAACUCCUUUCAACCAUCUCCAAGGCCUUGGACAUCCAUUAGGCUUUCAUUGCCUGCUUCUCAGGACAACAACACUCAUGAUGUCAUUUUUGGUACAAGUCAGAUGAUGAAUCAGUAUGAGUCGGUAGGUUCUGAAGAUUUAGUUUCAAGUUCUUUAAUUACAGAAUCUAAAAUUCCAGAGAACCUUUCACAGGAGACACCACCACCACCUCCACUCCCUCCUUUGGACUGGUGGAUAACGAGACCCCAAAAAGUAUCAUUAACAUCCAUUGAAUCGGCUGUACCUCUUGCGCCGCCUCCUCCUCCAUCAAAGCUCAGUUGGCCUGCACAGAAUUCACAAUCUCAGAAGACUUAUAUUGAAAGGAAUGAUUCACUCAUAAAGUCCAUCGCAUCACAUGACAAAAGCAGGUUGAGGAAAGUUAUACAACAAACCCAGUCAUUAAAAGCCAAACCAUUAACUGAAAGAGAGGAGUUACUUGAGCAAAUACGGAAUCGGUCUUUCAGCUUGAGACCGACAGUUACAAAAAAGCUUGAAAUCCCUAGACCAGCAACAAGUAUUAAUGUCACUGCUAUCCUGAAAAAGGCCAGUGCCAUUCGAAAGGCUGUUGGAAGUGAAGACGAUGAAGAUGAUGAUUGGAGUGAUGCUUGAAUUCUAAUUCAUGGGUUGAGUGAUGAAUAAGAGGAGGAACCGAUAGUAGAGGGUGGCAAUGAGUUAGAUGCUGAAGAUUUAGGAGAUACUCAACCUACCAUUUCUUGUCACAUGCUUGUUAGAGUGAGUGCACUACAAACUCUCAAGUCUUUUAUGUAGGCAUGCUUUUUGGAAGCCUUCCUUCAAAAUGACUGGAACAUUUAUAAGGUUGCACAAAAUGUUUCAAUGUUCUUGAUGGCAAUUUCAUUGGAUGAUGAUGGCAUGAUUCCUUAUGACAACAGGAGUUUCAUUGGUGGACAAUUAAUUCAGAACUGCAAAUUCUUCCAUGUAAUGGUAAAGUCAUUCAUAGUAGAAAUUCUUACUCUUAAAAUCUGGAGUGGAAUCUCUAAGUGGAACUGUGGAGCUAUAAAUAUCUCUGUACAUGGGAACACAAAAAUGCAGUAAACAAAUUGUGACAUCAUUGUGGCACUCCUAUUGCUCUCAUUUUGGACUGCAACUGUUAGUGCUGUCUUGCUGACAGGAGACUAUCGUGUCUCUGGUGUAACUCUAAUCAGUGUCAAGGAGAAGUUUGGGGAGAAGUUACCAGAGAAUUGAAACGCUGUUUGUUAUGAGUAAUGAAAUGAUUAUAGUUUAGCACCAUGAGGAUUUUAAGACUUGGAAGGAACGGUACAUUUUCUGUAGCUAGAUUAUAAGAUGCAGGUCUUCAGUUCUAUCUCAGAAGCCUGUUAAAUUUUGGAAGUAAUCUUAUACUGCUCAUCAUGAAAGUUGCUGUUUAAGUGCUUUUCAAGGUCUGCAAUUAUUGGAGGAGAAGCAACACAAUUUAACAGCUCAAGGGAUGAUUCCUUUUUGCAUGUAAAAACUGGUUAUUAUGAAAGUUUUGGUAUCUGCAACAGAUUUGGGAUUCCUAUCAAGAAUGUCUUCCGAGCUACUGCUUGAAGCUGUGGUCAUGUCCAUGCAAUAUUUCUGGAGUUCUGUUCUGCCAAACUUCUUCUCCACUACAGACUAAUACGAUGCCCUGUGUAACCCAUAUCACUUGUAAAAUGCUAUCUCCCUGUCUAAAUUAAUCUUUUUGAAAAGAAA
Molecule: RNA transcript, 5867 nt
Organism: Cryptomeria japonica (Japanese cedar)
Lineage: Eukaryota; Viridiplantae; Streptophyta; Pinopsida; Cupressales; Cupressaceae
Exons: 12
Source: RefSeq, a predicted model, not a curated record